Molecule: ribosomal RNA, 440 nt
Filed under: uncultured bacterium
Lineage: Bacteria
Description: partial 16S ribosomal RNA
Rfam family: Bacterial small subunit ribosomal RNA
Source: RNAcentral
CCUACGGGGGGCAGCAGUGAGGAAUAUUGGUCAAUGGGGGGAACCCUGAUGCAGCGACGCCGCGUGGGUGAAGAAGCGCCUCGGCGCGUAAAGCCCUGUCAGCAGGGAAGAAAAUGACGGUACCUGAAGAAGAAGCCCCGGCGAACUACGUGCCAGCAGCCGCGGUAAUACGUAGGGGGCAAGCGUUAUCCGGAUUUACUGGGUGUAAGGGGAGCGUAGACGGUAUGGCAAGUCUGAAGUGAAAGCCCAGGGCUUAACCCUGGGACUGCUUUGGAAACUGUUAGACUAGAGUGCUGGAGAGGGAAGUGGAAUUCCUGGUGUAGCGGUGAAAUGCGUAGAUAUUAGGAGGAACACCAGUGGCGAAGGCGGCUUACUGGACAGUAACUGACGUUGAGGCUCGAAAGCGUGGGGAGCAAACAGGAUUAGAUACCCGGGUAGUC